UCCGAAUUGGUGUAGUGGCUAACAUUUGACGCUCUCAUAAACAUGAACCGUCAAGCCCGGGGUUCGAUUCCCCGAUUCGGAG
Molecule: non-coding RNA, 82 nt
Organism: Poronia punctata
Lineage: Eukaryota; Fungi; Ascomycota; Sordariomycetes; Xylariales; Xylariaceae
Source: the annotation of a GenBank genome assembly